Long non-coding RNA from Etheostoma cragini (Arkansas darter), 203 nucleotides. RefSeq lists it as uncharacterized. The transcript has 3 exons. The record is from RefSeq and is a predicted model, not a curated record. Lineage: Eukaryota; Metazoa; Chordata; Actinopteri; Perciformes; Percidae.
CGCUGCACAACAGCUGAACGGCAUCAAUGCUAUUUACUUCUACGCAGAUUACUUAUUCAGACAAUCUGGCAUCCCCGCUGAUAAAAUCCCAUAUGCGACCGUUGGCACUGGUGCCUGUGAAUGCAUCACAGCUUUAACAUGUGGUCUGCUCAUUGACCGUCUGGGAAGGAAAGUGCUCAUUGCGGGAGGAUACACACUGAUGA